AGAUCACUUGAGCCCAGGAGGUCAAGGUUGCCGUGAGCCCAAAUAGCACUACUGCACUACUCCACUCCAGCCUGGGCGACAGAG
Molecule: small nuclear RNA, 84 nt
Filed under: Homo sapiens (human)
Lineage: Eukaryota; Metazoa; Chordata; Mammalia; Primates; Hominidae
Description: partial ncRNA
Source: RNAcentral